This 253-nucleotide ribosomal RNA is filed under the name uncultured bacterium. RNAcentral's name for it is "partial 16S ribosomal RNA". It matches the Rfam family "Bacterial small subunit ribosomal RNA", at positions 524 to 776 of the family's 1533-position model. The record is from RNAcentral.
GACGAGUCUCACGAACGUUAUUCGGAAUUACUGGGCUUAAAGGGUGCGUAGGCGGUGGAGUAAGUCGGGUGUGAAAUACCAUAGCUUAACUAUGGAACUGCACUCGAUACUACUUUGCUAGAGUAAGACAGAGGUGAGUGGAACUGAGGGUGGAGCGGUGAAAUGCGUUGAUAUCCUCAGGAACACCGGUGGCGAAGGCGACUCACUGGGUCUUUACUGACGCUGAUGCACGAAAGCUAGGGUAGCAAACGGG